Molecule: ribosomal RNA, 253 nt
Filed under: uncultured bacterium
Lineage: Bacteria
Description: partial 16S ribosomal RNA
Rfam family: Bacterial small subunit ribosomal RNA
Source: RNAcentral
UACAGAGGGAGCGAGCGUUGUUCGGAAUUAUUGGGCGUAAAGGGCGCGUAGGCGGUGCGGUAAGUCACCUGUGAAAUCUCCUGGCUCAACUGGGAGCUUGCAGGCGAAACUGCCGUGCUGGAGUGUGGGAGAGGUGCGUGGAAUUCCUGGUGUAGCGGUGAAAUGCGUAGAUAUCAGGAGGAACACCUGUGGCGAAAGCUGCGCACUGGACCACAACUGACGCUGAGGCGCGAAAGCUAGGGGAGCAAACAGG